CAGCCGCCGCGGUAAUUCGUAGGGUGCAAGCGUUAAUCGGAAUUACUGGGCGUAAAGCGUGCGCAGGCGGUUGUGCAAGACAGAUGUGAAAUCCCUGGGCUCAACCUAGGAAUUGCAUUUGUGACUGCACGGCUAGAGUGUGUCAGAGGGGGGUAGAAUUCCACGUGUAGCAGUGAAAUGCGUAGAUAUGUGGAGGAAUACCGAUGGCGAAGGCAGCCCCCUGGGAUAACACUGACGCUCAUGCACGAAAGCGUGGGGAGCAAACAGGAUUAGAUACCCUGGUAGUCCACGCCCUAAACGAUGUCUACUAGUUGUCGGGUCUUAAUUGACUUGGUAACGCAGCUAACGCGUGAAGUAGACCGCCUGGGGAGUACGGUCGCAAGAUUAAAACUCAAAUGAAUUGACGG
RNAcentral lists this ribosomal RNA (407 nucleotides) under beta proteobacterium enrichment culture clone LiUU-18-708. RNAcentral's name for it is "bacterial SSU rRNA". It matches the Rfam family "Bacterial small subunit ribosomal RNA", at positions 509 to 916 of the family's 1533-position model. The record is from RNAcentral. Lineage: Bacteria; Pseudomonadati; Pseudomonadota; Betaproteobacteria.